CCUACGGGGGGCUGCAGUGGGGAAUAUUGCACAAUGGGCGGAAGCCUGAUGCAGCAACGCCGCGUGCGGGAUGACGGCCUUCGGGUUGUAAACCGCUUUCGCCUGUGACGAAGCGUGAGUGACGGUAAUGGGUAAAGAAGCACCGGCUAACUACGUGCCAGCAGCCGCGGUGAUACGUAGGGUGCGAGCGUUGUCCGGAUUUAUUGGGCGUAAAGGGCUCGUAGGUGGUUGAUCGCGUCGGAAGUGUAAUCUUGGGGCUUAACCCUGAGCGUGCUUUCGAUACGGGUUGACUUGAGGAAGGUAGGGGAGAAUGGAAUUCCUGGUGGAGCGGUGGAAUGCGCAGAUAUCAGGAGGAACACCAGUGGCGAAGGCGGUUCUCUGGGCCUUUCCUGACGCUGAGGAGCGAAAGCGUGGGGAGCGAACAGGCUUAGAUACCCGAGUAGUC
Molecule: ribosomal RNA, 445 nt
Filed under: uncultured bacterium
Lineage: Bacteria
Description: bacterial SSU rRNA
Rfam family: Bacterial small subunit ribosomal RNA
Source: RNAcentral